Molecule: ribosomal RNA, 742 nt
Filed under: uncultured bacterium
Lineage: Bacteria
Description: bacterial SSU rRNA
Rfam family: Bacterial small subunit ribosomal RNA
Source: RNAcentral
AGAGUUUGAUCCUGGCUCAGAGCGAACGCUGGCGGCAUGCUUAACACAUGCAAGUCGCGCGGGCAGCAAUGUCAGUGGCGGACGGAUGAGUAACGCGUAGGUAUCUGUCCAUGGGUGGGGGAUAACGCCGGGAAACUGGUGCUAAUACCGCAUGACACCUGAGGGUCAAAGGCGCAAGUCGCCUGUGGAGGAGCCUUCGUCCGAUUAGCUAGUUGGUGGGGUAAAGGCCUACCAAGGCGACGAUCGGUAGCUGGUCUGAGAGGAUGAUCAGCCACAUUGGGACUGAGACACGGCCCAAACUCCUACGGGAGGCAGCAGUGGGGAAUAUUGGACAAUGGGCGAAAGCCUGAUCCAGCAAUGCCGCGUGGAUGAAGAAGGUUUUCGGAUUGUAAAGUCCUUUCGGCGGGGACGAUGAUGACGGUACCCGCAGAAGAAGCCCCGGCUAACUUCGUGCCAGCAGCCGCGGUAAUACGAAGGGGGCUAGCGUUGCUCGGAAUGACUGGGCGUAAAGGGCGCGUAGGCGGUUUGGACAGUUAGGCGUGAAAUUCCUGGGCUCAACCUGGGGACUGCGCUUAAUACAUCCAGACUUGAGUGUGGAAGAGGGUUGUGGAACUCCCAGUGUAGAGGUGAAAUUCGUAGAUAUUGGGAAGAACACCGGUGGCGAAGGCGGCACCCUGGUCCAUUACUGACGCUGAGGCGCGAAAGCGUGGGGAGCAAACAGGAUUAGAUACCCCCGUAGUCC